UCAGAUCUCAAUAUCCCAACAUUGUAUUCUAGGCGCGAACUGUUAUGUUCAAAAUUUUUUAGAAAAAAGGUUCUUCCGCAAACUAGUCCUCUUUCCGAACUAGUUGAACCAGCCGAACAUCCAAGCUACAAUCUACGCACAUCGAAUAAACUCGUUCCAAUUAAUUGUCGGACAAAUCGCUUCAAAAAUUCGUACAUUCCCUCGUCUGUAACGAUUUAUAAUAAACAUUGAGUAACUAUAAAUUACAUACAUUUUUAUUUGUAAAUAAUGGUAAUAUCAUACUAGAAGUUCUAAACUCUUCCUAUAUUAUAGUAAAUACGUUUUUGUAAAUAUACAAUAUUUUUCUAAUCAACCAACCCUG
Molecule: non-coding RNA, 361 nt
Organism: Paramuricea clavata
Lineage: Eukaryota; Metazoa; Cnidaria; Anthozoa; Malacalcyonacea; Plexauridae
Source: the annotation of a GenBank genome assembly